Molecule: ribosomal RNA, 467 nt
Filed under: uncultured bacterium
Lineage: Bacteria
Description: partial 16S ribosomal RNA
Rfam family: Bacterial small subunit ribosomal RNA
Source: RNAcentral
ACGAACGCUGGCGGCGUGCUUAACACAUGCAAGUCGAACGGAAAGGCCCUGCUUUUGUGGGGUGCUCGAGUGGCGAACGGGUGAGUAACACGUGAGUAACCUGCCCUUGACUUUGGGAUAACUUCAGGAAACUGGGGCUAAUACCGGAUAGGAGCUCCUGCUGCAUGGUGGGGGUUGGAAAGUUUCGGCGGUUGGGGAUGGACUCGCGGCUUAUCAGCUUGUUGGUGGGGUAGUGGCUUACCAAGGCUUUGACGGGUAGCCGGCAUGAGAGGGUGGCCGGCCACAUUGGGACUGAGAGACGGCCCAGACUCCUACGGGAGGCAGCAGUGGGGAAUAUUGCACAAUGGGCGGAAGCCUGAUGCAGCAACGCCGCGUGCGGGAUGACGGCCUUCGGGUUGUAAACCGCUUUCGCCUGUGACGAAGCGUGAGUGACGGUAAUGGGUAAAGAAGCACCGGCUAACUACGUG